UAAGGGGGUGAUGGCGUGCCUUUUGUAGAAUGAACCGGCGAGUUACUUUAUCAUGCGAGGUUAAGUGGAAGACAUGGAGCCGAAGCGAAAGCGAGUCUUAAUAGGGCGAAAUAGUAUGAUGGAGUAGACCCGAAACCAAGUGAUCUACCCAUGGCCAGGUUGAAGUUUAGGUAACACUGAAUGGAGGACCGAACCAGGACACGUUGAAAAGUGUUUGGAUGAGCUGUGGGUAGCGGAGAAAUUCCAAUCGAACUUGGAAAUAGCUGGUUCUCUCCGAAAUAGCUUUAGGGCUAGCCUCGUUGUGAGUUUACUGGAGGUAGAGCACUGUUUGGACUAGGGGCCCAUCCCGGGUUACCGAAUUCAGACAAACUCCGAAUGCCAGAUAAAUAUCAACGGGAGUCAGACUGCGGGUGAUAAGGUUCGUAGUCGAAAGGGAAACAGCCCAGACCGCCAGCUAAGGUCCCAAAUUGUAUGUUAAGUGGAAAAGGAUGUGAUGAUGCACAGACAACCAGGAUGUUGGCUUAGAAGCAGCCACCAUUUAAAGAGUGCGUAAUAGCUCACUGGUCGAGUGACAUCGCGCCGAAAAUGUACCGGGGCUAAACAUACAACCGAAGUUGCGGAUAUAACUAAUGUUAUAUGGUAGGAGAGCGUUCUAACAUCAUAGAAGCCGAGCUGGAAGGUGAGGUGGAGAGGUUAGAAGUGAGAAUGCCGGUGUGAGUAGCGAAAGAUAGGUGAGAAUCCUAUCCACCGAAAGACUAAGGUUUCCAGAGGAAGGCUCGUCCGCUCUGGGUAAGUCGGGACCUAAGGUGAAGCCGACAGGUGAAGCCGAUGGACAACAGGUAGAAAUUCCUGUACCACCAAAUAUCGAUUGAGAGAAGUGGGGACAGAGGAGGCUAAUUGAUCGUCCUGAUGGAAUAGGACGUCUAAGCACAAAGGUUGAGUAGUAGGCAAAUCCGCUGCUUGAGAAGACUGAAGUGUGAUGGGGAGCGAAAUUAAAGUAGCGAAGUCAAUGAAGCCAAACUUUCAAGAAAAGCCGCUAUCGAGAUAAGAGGUGCCCGUACCGCAAACCGACACAGGUAGUUGGGAAGAGAAUUCUAAGGUGAGCGAGAGAACCAUCGUUAAGGAACUCGGCAAAAUGACCCCGUAACUUCGGGAGAAGGGGUGCCUACGAGAGUAGGCCGCAGUGAAUAGGCCCAAGCGACUGUUUAACAAAAACACAGGUCUCUGCAAAACCGAAAGGUGAAGUAUAGGGGCUGACGCCUGCCCGGUGCUGGAAGGUUAAGAGGAGUGCUUAGGAGUAAUCCGAAGGUAUGAAUUGAAGCCCCAGUAAACGGCGGCCGUAACUAUAACGGUCCUAAGGUAGCGAAAUUCCUUGUCGGGUAAGUUCCGACCCGCACGAAAGGCGUAACGAUUUGGGCACUGUCUCAACGAUGGACUCGGUGAAAUCAUAGUACCUGUGAAGAUGCAGGUUACCCGCGACAGGACGGAAAGACCCCAUGGAGCUUUACUGUAGCUUGAUAUUGAAUUUUGAUGCAGUAUGUACAGGAUAGGUAGGAGCCUAAGAAUCAUGCACGCCAGUGUAUGAGGAGGCGUUGUUGGGAUACUACCCUUGCUGUAUUGAAAUUCUAACCCUCGGCGAAGACCGGGAGACAGUGUCAGGUGGGCAGUUUGACUGGGGCGGUCGCCUCCCAAAGAGUAACGGAGGCGUUCAAAGGUUCCCUCAGAAUGGUUGGAAAUCAUUUGCAGAGUGUAAAGGCACAAGGGAGCUUGACUGUGAGACUUACAAGUCGAGCAGGUGCG
Molecule: ribosomal RNA, 1800 nt
Filed under: Chlamydia trachomatis
Lineage: Bacteria; Pseudomonadati; Chlamydiota; Chlamydiia; Chlamydiales; Chlamydiaceae
Description: bacterial LSU rRNA
Rfam family: Bacterial large subunit ribosomal RNA
Source: RNAcentral